AUUGAACGCUGGCGGAAUGCUUUACACAUGCAAGUCGAACGGCAGCACGGGGCAACCUGGUGGCGAGUGGCGAACGGGUGAGUAAUACAUCGGAACGUGCCCAAUCGUGGGGGAUAACGUAGCGAAAGUUACGCUAAUACCGCAUACGAUCUACGGAUGAAAGCGGGGGAUCGCAAGACCUCGCGCGAAUGGAGCGGCCGAUGUCAGAUUAGGUAGUUGGUGGGGUAAAGGCUCACCAAGCCAACGAUCUGUAGCUGGUCUGAGAGGACGACCAGCCACACUGGAACUGAGACACGGUCCAGACUCCUACGGGAGGCAGCAGUGGGGAAUUUUGGACAAUGGGGGGCAACCCUGAUCCAGCCAUGCCGCGUGAGUGAAGAAGGCCUUCGGGUUGUUAAAGCUCUUCGGUGGGAAGAAGUACGCGCGCUCUAACAUAGCGUGUGG
RNAcentral lists this ribosomal RNA (444 nucleotides) under uncultured bacterium. Its description in RNAcentral is "bacterial SSU rRNA". It matches the Rfam family "Bacterial small subunit ribosomal RNA", at positions 30 to 472 of the family's 1533-position model. The record is from RNAcentral.